This is a long non-coding RNA of Vulpes vulpes (red fox), 2138 nucleotides long. The record is from Ensembl. Lineage: Eukaryota; Metazoa; Chordata; Mammalia; Carnivora; Canidae.
CUCCCCUCCUCCUCUCCCUCCCUCCCUCCCUCUCUCUCUCUCUCAUUUCUUAAAACAGACUUCAGUCUCCCAACACGUAUUUGCGGUGACUAAUGCGGGUCCACAUGGUGACCUGCGCUCUGACAUGGUGACCUGCGCUCUGACUUGGCAGGUGCUCGGUGGGCCAGGUGCCCCAGGACUGGAGUCCCAGCCGCAGGGCUGGCGCUGGAGUCAUCUGUCCCCCAGGUCACACCUCCCGGUGUACGGGCCUUGACGACCUGCUGGCGUCCGUGUUCCUGCACUUCCCAGGUCCAGGCUUGAGGAGAUUCGAUUCCAGGUGCCUCCUGCAAGGUGUCACACACCCAAGACGGCGACGUGGGUAGCAAUGACUGAUGCCAACAGGCCACCUGCGCCGGUCAGGUGCCACGAUGAGCGCCACGUGCCACUCCCGCUUCUGCCCCUGGGGGUCCCCUGGCUUCAUCAGGGCACAGAGAGGGGAGCACCUUGCCCGUGGCACGGCGGAGAACGGCCGAGGUGGAUGGCGGCCGGGGCGCCCGCGUCUGCAGGGACCAUGACUGCAGGGAUCACAAGAAGUUAAUUGGCCAUUCAAAGCCACGUGACGGUUGUCUCUCUCGGUGGUGACAAACAGGAGACCGUGCUGGGAGGGCUCCGUGGAGGAAGCUGAUUCUCCAGCACAGGUAGGGCUUAGGCGACUCAUUUUCUAAGACUCGUCUAAUGACAAACGAGGGACAAAUGUCUUCCUAGCAGUUUCAGCUGCCAUGUGGUGCAAAACAGACUCUAUUUCUCAUAUUUAUCAGCUAACAAAUUCAUCCCUCAACAAGCAUUCCUUGGGUAUCUGCUUUGUGCAAGAACCAGCGCUGGAUCUUUUAAAUUUGUCUUUUUUUUUUUUUUAAUUUUGGAACUUAAUGACUUUCAAAACAUAUGUGUUGAAUAUUUGAGGACAGACUUUCAACCUCUGCAAUGUUCUGGAAGUUGAGCCUAGAGCCAGCUUCCCCCUCUCUUCCCAGAGCCUCAGAGGCUAUGCAUUUGUUUUUUUUGUUUGUUUGUUUUUAAUCUAUUUUUUAUUGGUGUUCAAUUUGCCAACAUAUAGCAUAACACCCAGUGCUCAUCCCAUUAAGUGCUCCCUUCAGUGCCUGUCACCCAGUCACCCCCACGCCCCGGCCACCUCCCCUUCCACGACCCCUAGUUCGUUUCCCAGAGUUAGGAGUCUCUCAUGUUCUGUCUCCCUUUCUGAUAUUUCCCACUCAUUUUUUCUCCUUUCCCCUUUAUUCCCUUUCACUAUUUUUUAUAUUUAUAUAAAUAUAUAUUUAUAUAUAUUUUUUAUAUUCAUUAUUUUUUUAUAUUCCCCCAAUGAAUGAAUUCCCCAUAUAAUGUUUGUCCUUCUCCGAGGCUAUGCAUUUGGCAUCUGCCUUCACCUACAUAUAGAUCAUUUGAAAGCCCAAAGGGCCAGCAUGAUGGCAUCCUGCGGAGCCUUUCUGCACUCAUGGGAACUUUGCAUCUGAGCUACAGGGAAGUUGAGGCCAGGAGGCUGAUGAAUCUUGAGGGGCUACUUCCUUAAACUUUAAAGAAGCGAAGUUCCCCGAGUCAGGCAGUGGAGGAGGAACCCACGUGCCAUGACCCGGUAACUCCCGGGUGGAAAUAGGGACUUGCUCCUCGCUCCUUUCCAGGUCUGCAGGGCCCCAGGCUCGAAUGAAGGAGUUGGCCCAUCAGGAAGGACAGAGGGUGCGACGUGCCGAGGGCCGCCCUGGUGAGGCCGGGAGUGCUCCACAUGAAGUGCACACGCUGGCGAACGAAGACGUUGGGAAAUAUUUUUCUGCUUAAAGUUCUGAGAUUGCAAGGGCUUUCUUAGCCCUGUGGAAUUCCUCUAACUGCCUGGGGAUUUCUAUGUUUCUAAGAAGCUUGAGGUGGCUGUUAACCUAAUACACAGUUGAAGGGAGCCAAGACGGCCUUUCCAUGCCAGCUGUGUGGUUGGCAGUCUUCUUAAAAGGCCCUUUAAAAUCAGGCAUGUAAGGGAAUCCUUCUUUCUUGAACUAGGGCCUCUGAAACCGGGUCAAUGGUUCUCAUCCUCCUCUUCCAGCUUGCUCUGCUGAAGCACAGCGUAAGCAAAUAAAUAUCAAUGAAUUGCUUAAUGAUUUUCA